This 354-nucleotide ribosomal RNA is filed under the name uncultured bacterium. Its description in RNAcentral is "bacterial SSU rRNA". It matches the Rfam family "Bacterial small subunit ribosomal RNA", at positions 8 to 349 of the family's 1533-position model. The record is from RNAcentral.
AGAGUUUGAUCCUGGCUCAGGAUGAACGCUAGCUACAGGCUUAACACAUGCAAGUCGAGGGGAAACGACAUCGAAAGCUUGCUUUUGAUGGGCGUCGACCGGCGCACGGGUGAGUAACGCGUAUCCAACCUGCCCAUCACUUGGGGAUAACCUUGCGAAAGUAAGACUAAUACCCAAUGAUAUCUCUAGAAGGCAUCUGAAAGAGAUUAAAGAUUUAUCGGUGAUGGAUGGGGAUGCGUCUGAUUAGGCUUGUUGGCGGGGUAACGGCCACCAAAGCAACGAUCAGUAGGGGUUCUGAGAGGAAGGUCCCCCACAUUGGAACUGAAGACACGGUCCAAACUCCGUACGGGAGCA